GCCGGGCAUGGUGGCUCAUGCCUGUAAUCCCAGCUACUUGGGAGGCUGAGGCAGUAGAAUCGCUUGAACCCAGGAGGUGGUGGUUACAGUGAGCCAAGAUAAUGCCAUUGCACUCCAGCCUGGGCAACAGAGUGAGACUCUGUCUCAA
This 148-nucleotide non-coding RNA is filed under the name Nomascus leucogenys (northern white-cheeked gibbon). Lineage: Eukaryota; Metazoa; Chordata; Mammalia; Primates; Hylobatidae. The record is from Rfam by way of RNAcentral.